RNAcentral lists this ribosomal RNA (253 nucleotides) under uncultured bacterium. RNAcentral's name for it is "partial 16S ribosomal RNA". It matches the Rfam family "Bacterial small subunit ribosomal RNA", at positions 524 to 776 of the family's 1533-position model. The record is from RNAcentral.
UACGUAGGGUGCAAGCGUUGUCCGGAAUUAUUGGGCGUAAAGAGCUCGUAGGCGGUUUGUCGCGUCUGCUGUGAAAACCCGAGGCUCAACCUCGGGCCUGCAGUGGGUACGGGCAGACUAGAGUGCGGUAGGGGAGAUUGGAAUUCCUGGUGUAGCGGUGGAAUGCGCAGAUAUCAGGAGGAACACCGAUGGCGAAGGCAGGUCUCUGGGCCAUUACUGACACUGAGAAGCGAAAGCAUGGGGAGCGAACAGG